This 253-nucleotide ribosomal RNA is filed under the name uncultured bacterium. Its description in RNAcentral is "partial 16S ribosomal RNA". It matches the Rfam family "Bacterial small subunit ribosomal RNA", at positions 524 to 776 of the family's 1533-position model. The record is from RNAcentral.
GACAGAGGUGCCGAGCGUUAGGCGGAAUCACUGGGCUUAAAGCGUGUGUAGGCGGACCGUUAAGUGUCUUGUGAAAUCCCACGGCUCAACCGUGGAACGGCUGGGCAUACUGGCGGUCUUGAGCGGUCCAGGGGCGAGCGGAACAAGCGGUGGAGCGGUGAAAUGCGUAGAUAUCGCUUGGAACGCCGACGGUGAAAACAGCUCGCUGGGGACCCGCUGACGCUGAGACACGAAAGCCAGGGAAGCGAACGGG